ACGGCGUCCCAGUUCGGAUUGCAGCCUGCAACUCGGCUGCAUGAAGCUGGAAUCGCUAGUAAUCGCGGAUCAGAAUGCCGCGGUGAAUACGUUCCCGGGUCUUGUACACACCGCCCGUCACACCAUGGGAGUCGGGAAUGCCCGAAGUCAGUGACCCAACCAUAUGGAGGGAGCUGCCGAAGGUGGAGCCGAUAACUGGGGUGAAGUCGUAACAAGGUACC
RNAcentral lists this ribosomal RNA (221 nucleotides) under uncultured bacterium. RNAcentral's name for it is "partial 16S ribosomal RNA". It matches the Rfam family "Bacterial small subunit ribosomal RNA", at positions 1280 to 1500 of the family's 1533-position model. The record is from RNAcentral.